CGACGAUGAUGCCCAGCUUGCUGGGUGGAUUAGUGGCGAACGGGUGAGUAACACGUGAGUAACCUGCCCCUGACUCUGGGAUAAGCGUUGGAAACGACGUCUAAUACUGGAUAUGAUCACUGGCCGCAUGGUCUGGUGGUGGAAAGAUUUUUUGGUUGGGGAUGGACUCGCGGCCUAUCAGCUUGUUGGUGAGGUAAUGGCUCACCAAGGCGACGACGGGUAGCCGGCCUGAGAGGGUGACCGGCCACACUGGGACUGAGACACGGCCCAGACUCCUACGGGAGGCAGCAGUGGGGAAUAUUGCACAAUGGGCGAAAGCCUGAUGCAGCAACGCCGCGUGAGGGAUGACGGCCUUCGGGUUGUAAACCUCUUUUAGUAGGGAAGAAGCGAAAGUGACGGUACCUGCAGAAAAAGCACCGGCUAACUACGUGCCAGCAGCCGCGGUAAUACGUAGGGUGCAAGCGUUGUCCGGAAUUAUUGGGCGUAAAGAGCUCGUAGGCGGUUUGUCGCGUCUGCUGUGAAAUCCCGAGGCUCAACCUCGGGCUUGCAGUGGGUACGGGCAGACUAGAGUGCGGUAGGGGAGAUUGGAAUUCCUGGUGUAGCGGUGGAAUGCGCAGAUAUCAGAGGAACACCGAUGGCGAAGGCAGAUCUCUGGGCCGUAACUGACGCUGAGGAGCGAAAGCGUGGGGAGCGAACAGGAUUAGAUACCCUGGUAGUCCACGCCGUAAACGUUGGGCGCUAGAUGUAGGGACCUUUU
Molecule: ribosomal RNA, 757 nt
Filed under: unidentified
Description: bacterial SSU rRNA
Rfam family: Bacterial small subunit ribosomal RNA
Source: RNAcentral